GUGAUCUAGGGAUUGUAUGAGAGCAUGUUGACUUAAUUCAUAGGACUGAGGUGAAGUGGACAUAGCCUUGCAGCGAUGGUCAUACAUGACUGAUCUAGCACACCACAGUCCUUUGACAACUGCAUUGAGGAAUUUCAGCGAUGAGCCUCUUGAGAACGAGAAUGACAUCAAAGUUCAAAUUUAUAAAGAAGGAAACCUGCUAAAUCCUUCUCAACUAAAGAAGGACUAUGAGGAUUGGAUAGUUCAGAUGCAUAGUCAAUAUGAUGAUGAU
Rosa rugosa (rugosa rose) is the source of this 271-nucleotide long non-coding RNA. RefSeq lists it as uncharacterized. NCBI's taxonomy places the organism in Eukaryota, Viridiplantae, Streptophyta, Magnoliopsida, Rosales, Rosaceae. The transcript is spliced from 3 exons. The record is from RefSeq and is a predicted model, not a curated record.